CCUACGGGGGGCUGCAGUGGGGAAUAUUGCACAAUGGGGGAAACUCUGAUGCAGCGACGCCGCGUGAGGGAAGAAGUAUUUCGGUAUGUAAAGCUCUAUUAGCAGGGAAGUUAAUGACGGUACCUGACUUAGACGGCCCGGCUAACUACGUUCCAGCAGCCGCGGGAAUACGUAGGGGGCCAGCGUUAUCCGGAUUUACUGGGCGUAAAGGGAGCGUAGGUGGUAGGGCAAGUCAGAUGUGAAAAGCCGGGGCUCAACCCCGGGAGUGCAUUUGAAACUGUCGAGCUAGAGAGCAGGAGCGGUAAGCGGAAUUCCUAGUGUAGCGGUGAAAUGCAUAGAUAUUAGGAGGAACACCAGUGGCGAAGGCAGCUUACUGGACUGUAACUGACACUGAGGCUCGAAAGCGUGGGGAGCAAACAGGAUUAGAUACCCUUGUAGUC
Molecule: ribosomal RNA, 440 nt
Filed under: uncultured bacterium
Lineage: Bacteria
Description: partial 16S ribosomal RNA
Rfam family: Bacterial small subunit ribosomal RNA
Source: RNAcentral